GUGCAAAUAUUUGCUCAUUUUGAAAUGGAUGCCUGCAACACGUUUCAAAAAAGCUGGGACAGUGUUGGGCAACAAAAGACUGGGAAAGUUGAUGAAUGCUCAAAGAACACCUGUUUGGAACAUUCUACAAGUGAAGAGGUUAAUUGGAAAGAUGUGCAUGUCAUGACUGGGUAUAAAAGGAGCAUCCCCAAAAGGCUCAGCCGUUCACAAGCAAAGAUGGUAUGAGGAUCAUCACUUUGUGAACUACGUGG
This is a long non-coding RNA of Thalassophryne amazonica, 251 nucleotides long. RefSeq lists it as uncharacterized. The transcript has 3 exons. NCBI's taxonomy places the organism in Eukaryota, Metazoa, Chordata, Actinopteri, Batrachoidiformes, Batrachoididae. The record is from RefSeq and is a predicted model, not a curated record.